Molecule: ribosomal RNA, 305 nt
Filed under: uncultured Pseudomonas sp.
Lineage: Bacteria; Pseudomonadati; Pseudomonadota; Gammaproteobacteria; Pseudomonadales; Pseudomonadaceae
Description: bacterial SSU rRNA
Rfam family: Bacterial small subunit ribosomal RNA
Source: RNAcentral
GGGUUAACGUCCGUAACGAGCGCAACCUGUCCUUAGUUACCAGCACGUUAGUGGUGGGCACUCUAAGGAGACUGCCGGUGACAAACCGGAGGAAGGUGGGGAUGACGUCAAGUCAUCAUGGCCCUUACGGCCUGGGCUACACACGUGCUACAAUGGUCGGUACAAAGGGUUGCCAAGCCGCGAGGUGGAGCUAAUCCCAUAAAACCGAUCGUAGUCCGGAUCGCAGUCUGCAACUCGACUGCGUGAAGUCGGAAUCGCUAGUAAUCGUGAAUCAGAAUGUCACGGUGAAUACGUUCCCGGGCCUU